RNAcentral lists this ribosomal RNA (432 nucleotides) under uncultured bacterium. RNAcentral describes it as "partial 16S ribosomal RNA". It matches the Rfam family "Bacterial small subunit ribosomal RNA", at positions 355 to 805 of the family's 1533-position model. The record is from RNAcentral.
UGGGGAAUAUUGGACAAUGGGGGCAACCCUGAUCCAGCAAUGCCGCGUGUGUGAAGAAGGUCUUCGGAUUGUAAAGCACUUUCGACGGGGACGAUGAUGACGGUACCCGUAGAAGAAGCCCCGGCUAACUUCGUGCCAGCAGCCGCGGUAAUACGAAGGGGGCUAGCGUUGCUCGGAAUGACUGGGCGUAAAGGGCGUGUAGGCGGUUUACACAGUCAGAUGUGAAAUCCCCGGGCUUAACCUGGGAGCUGCAUUUGAUACGUGUAGACUAGAGUGUGAGAGAGGGUUGUGGAAUUCCCAGUGUAGAGGUGAAAUUCGUAGAUAUUGGGAAGAACACCGGUGGCGAAGGCGGCAACCUGGCUCAUGACUGACGCUGAGGCGCGAAAGCGUGGGGAGCAAACAGGUUAGAUACCCUGGUAGUCCACGCCUGUA